GUAGGUGGCAAGCGUUGUCCGGAAUUAUUGGGCGUAAAGCGCGCGCAGGCGGUUCUUUAAGUCUGAUGUGAAAGCCCACGGCUCAACCGUGGAGGGUCAUUGGAAACUGGAGAACUUGAGUACAGAAGAGGAAAGCGGAAUUCCACGUGUAGCGGUGAAAUGCGUAGAGAUGUGGAGGAACACCAGUGGCGAAGGCGGCUUUCUGGUCUGUAACUGACGCUGAGGCGCGAAAGCGUGGGGAGCAAACAGGAUUAGAUACCCUGGUAGUCCACGCCGUAAACGAUGAGUGCUAAGUGUUAGGGGGGGUUUUCCGCCCCCCUUAGUGCUGCAGCUAACGCAUUAAGCACUCCGCCUGGGAGUACGGCCGCAAGGCUG
This 375-nucleotide ribosomal RNA is filed under the name uncultured organism. RNAcentral describes it as "partial 16S ribosomal RNA". It matches the Rfam family "Bacterial small subunit ribosomal RNA", at positions 527 to 896 of the family's 1533-position model. The record is from RNAcentral.